GUGCUCAAUUCAGCAGCACAUACACUAAAUUUGGAAUGAUACAGAGAAGAUUAGCAUGUCCCCUGUGCAAGGAUGGCACCCAAAUUCAUGAAGCAUUCCAUAUUUUU
Delphinapterus leucas (beluga whale) is the source of this 107-nucleotide small nuclear RNA. NCBI's taxonomy places the organism in Eukaryota, Metazoa, Chordata, Mammalia, Artiodactyla, Monodontidae. The record is from Ensembl.